UACGUAGGGGGCUAGCGUUGUCCGGAAUUACUGGGCGUAAAGGGUGCGUAGGCGGCGCCUUAAGUCAGAUGUGAAAUAUCCAGGCUUAACCUGGAGGGUGCAUCUGAUACUGGGGUGCUUGAGUGCAGGAGAGGAAAGUGGAAUUCCUAGUGUAGCGGUGAAAUGCGUAGAUAUUAGGAGGAACACCAGUGGCGAAGGCGACUUUCUGGACUGUAACUGACGCUGAGGCACGAAAGCGUGGGGAGCAAACAGG
This 253-nucleotide ribosomal RNA is filed under the name uncultured bacterium. RNAcentral's name for it is "partial 16S ribosomal RNA". It matches the Rfam family "Bacterial small subunit ribosomal RNA", at positions 524 to 776 of the family's 1533-position model. The record is from RNAcentral.